CUGCCUCCUCCCUUGCCUCCUCCACCUCCGCUGCCUCCACCAUGUCCACCGCCUCCACUUCCUCCACUUCCUCCGCUGCCUCCACCAUGUCCACCGCCUCCACUUCCUCCUCCUCCUCCGCUGCCACCACCAUGUCCUCCGCCUCCACUUCCUCCUCCUCCUCCGCUGCUACCGCCCCCUCCCUUUCUACCUCCACCACCACCACCUCCACCACUACCUCCCUUGCUUCCUCCACCCCCACUACCUCCACUUCCUCCACCAUGUCCACCCCCGCUGCUGCCACCCCCUCCUUUGCUUCCUCCGCCUCCACUACCUCCGCUUCCGCCAUGUCCACCACCACCGCUACCACCCCCGCCCUUGCUUCCUCCGCCUCCACUACCUCCGCUUCCUCCUCCUCCUCCUCCGUGUCCAGCACCACCGCUACCACCCCCUCCCUUGCUUCCUCCACUACCUCCAGUGCCACCGCCUCCACUACCACCGCCUCCUCCUUUACCACCUCCACUGCCACCACCUCCUUUGCCCCCACCACUACCUCCGCUACUACCACCUCCGCCUCCGCUACCUCCACUACCUCCACUACCUCCUUUGCCCCCACCACUACCUCCACUGCCACCGCCACCCUUUCCGCCUCCACUGCCACCACCUCCGCUACCGCCACCUCCCGUUCCUCCACCUCCUCCACUGCCACCACUACCGCCUCCCUUUCCUCCACCUCCGCUACCGCCACCUCCCGUUCCUCCACCUCCUCCACUGCCACCACUACCGCCUCCCUUUCCUCCACCUCCGCUACCGCCACCUCCCGUUCCUCCACCUCCUCCACUGCCACCACUACCGCCUCCCUUUCCUCCACCUCCGCUGCCACCCUUUCCUCCUCCACUCCCUCCAUGUCCACCACCACUGCUUCCACCACCUCCUUUGCCCCCACCACUACCUCCACCUCCGCCUCCGCUACCUCCACUGCCUCCGCUACCUCCUUUGCCCCCGCCACUACCUCCACUGCCACCACCACCCUUUCCGCCUCCACUGCCACCACCUCCCGUUCCUCCACCUCCUCCACUACCACCACUACCGCCUCCCUUUCCUCCACCUCCGCUGCCACCGCCACUACCACCACCACCACUUCCACCUCCAUGGCCACCACCAUGGCCACCACUCCCACCACCUCCCACGCUGCCACCGCCGCUUCCACCACCUCCUAUGCCGGCAGCAGUC
RNAcentral lists this long non-coding RNA (1212 nucleotides) under Helianthus annuus (common sunflower). RNAcentral describes it as "hypothetical non coding rna". Lineage: Eukaryota; Viridiplantae; Streptophyta; Magnoliopsida; Asterales; Asteraceae. The record is from RNAcentral.